RNAcentral lists this unclassified non-coding RNA (6943 nucleotides) under Amphibalanus amphitrite. RNAcentral describes it as "uncharacterized LOC122389655, transcript variant X2". Lineage: Eukaryota; Metazoa; Arthropoda; Thecostraca; Balanomorpha; Balanidae. The record is from RNAcentral.
CGAGGAUCUUUGUCGAUAACCGGCACAUGCUGCCGAGCUCGCGAUUUUGCUCUUCACUAAUUUUAUUUGGUUUGUGGUGGAUUAAAUUUGUAGACCCUUAGAAUGGAUCGGUAAGGACUUAAGUUAUUUAUUUGGAAAAUUGUAUGCUACGUUUUGGUUAAGUUUAUUUACGUUAUUUGUCUCUGUAAAACGUGCUACGACGUCAAAACAAACACCUGUGACCGAAACGAACAACGAAAACGAUACGAAGAAGCGAUUUGAGACAAAGCGACCCGCGUCUGUAUGAUAUUCUUGAAACCGUUGAAAUACAUGUAGUACGUUCAUCGCGUUAGUCAAGAGGACGUGGGGCCGCUACAGUUUCAAGAAUAUCUGUCCCCGACUGCAGCAUAUCAGGAUAAAUCCUCUCUACCGUCACGCGGCCGGUUUGGACAGACGUCUACCCACAGUAAGUGACGAGCUGCUGCAGCUGCAGUUCAAACUUCGACAUUGUGACCUCAGAAAAUCCGGACACAUGAACUAAGAUCGUCUGAGAGACUAGCAGUAAACGUGAUUAUGCCCGUGCUAUGUUGUUACUUGUACUUGGAUUAAGUGAGCAAAGCAAGACAUCUAUGUUCUAAUGUUUUUCAUCGCGAAACGUCUGUUUUGAGCUUAUAUAUUCAGGUAAAUUUAGCAGGUGAAGCUUGGUGCGUUCACCACGGAGCGACCCCACUCUGUCUCGUGUAACUGAACUGUGACUAAGCAUCAUGGACAAUUUGAGAGUUUCGGAAUUGCGUGAGCAGUUGCGUCAGAGAGGUUUGAGUCAAAGGGGUACCAAAAAGACGCUUCUGCACCGGUUACGGACAGCUAUGGCCGAGGCAGACACCGACGACGAUUCCACUAAGCCGAGAUCGACAAAUUCACUACAGUAUUCCACGAACUCUAUAAGAAAAGCGGACCGAUCUACCGAAUCUUUAUCUAGCUCUGUUCACUCUGCGCAAUCUGGCUCUUGCAUAUCGGAAUCACUGUUUAUCAAGCAAGCCAACGAGGCUGCGAAAAGAGCGGGUUUAGAAGCCAGAAUGAUGCUUCUUGCUGAGAAGCAGAGAUUAACAGAGGAAACAAGGUUAGCUAGACAGCGGGAGCUCGAACUAGAAUUACAACAAGAGAAACUCGACCUGCAGAUGCAAAUAUUGGAUUCUGCAGCGCGAGAGAAAGAAUUUGAAAAAUUCCAGGUUCACCUCGAAAAUAGUACAGCUGUCAAUCCAUCAAUUACUAAGCAGGAGGCGCAAAGGGAAAUUCGUCCUACACUUUUCAGAGAGAAUAAAGCUACGGCAGCUAGUAUGAGUGAAGAUUGUGUAGGUGUCGAGGGCAUGGUCUCGAGGGGGCAGAACACUGAUGUUGAGGGCAGGUAUUGUCUGACUGCUACUAAAACUGAAUCACCAGCACACAAGCAGACAAGUUUUUGCAGUGAAGCAACAGCCCAGGCAUAUGACCUAACCACUGUACCCCCUGACCUAUUCACGCAAAUGUUGGGAUUAACUGAAAGAAGCACCAUUCCGCGAGUGGAAAUAGAAAAGUUUGAUGGGGAAGUGGCAUAUUAUCGAUCUUUUAUACGCGCUUUCGAGCACCUCAUCUGCAAUAAAGUUCAAAGCGAUGACGAGAAACUAUACUAUUUGGAGCAAUAUACAACAGGCCAGCCUCGAGAGGUUGUUAGAGGCUGUCUCCAUAUGCCUGAAGACAAGGGAUACAAAGAAGCCAGACGUUUGCUCGAGGCAAGAUAUGGAAAUCAGUAUAAAAUUGCAGCACGAUCAGUCGAUAGAAUCUUGAACUGGCCAGCAAUCAAGGUGGACGAAAUAGACGCCAUGGAUGACUUUUCUAUCGCUCUUCGCACCUGCUACAAUUCCAUGGCGGGCAUGGUUACAGAAACCUCGGAAUUGGAUCACCCUAAAACAAUACGUAAAAUUUUGGAAAAAUUUCCGCCGACCAUUCAGGACCGUUGGCGUCGGCUUGCUGAAGAUGUUCGUGAACACAAGAACAGAAUAGUCACCUUUAAAGAUUUAGUAGAUUUUGUGGAAAGAGAAGCCAGGAUUGCGACAAACCCUUUGUUCGGUCGCCACCUGUUCCCCGCCACCAGAGGCAAGCCGGAAGGGCAAAGAAGUGGACCAGCGAACCGUUACAGCCUUGCUGCUCAUAUUGGUCCAGCUAACCACGGCGGUCAGCCAGUGCCUUGCCUGUGGUGUAAAGCGAUGCAUCCUCUCGAUGAAUGCGCCCAUUUCGUCCAAAAUCCAAUGGAGGUGAAAAGGGAGUUUAUCCGAAACAAUUCGCUUUGCUUCGGAUGCCUGGUCCAAGGUCACGUAGCAAAAAGCUGUACAAAUCGUAGUGUAUGUCGCGAAUGUAAAGGGAAGCAUGCUACCGCCUUACAUUCGCCCCCAGGCGAGGUACAGAGCACACGAAGAACGACGACGUAUGAAGCCAUAAAAAACGCUAGAGUUGAUAUUAACAAUGAGGCGUCUUUAGCAUCGUGUGGAAUGGCAAUUGUACCGGUUAAAGUAAGGACCAGGACUGGACACUGUGUGGAAACUUAUGCAUUCCUAGACAAUGGCAGCUCGGCUUCAUUCUGUACUGAAUCACUCUGCAAAAGACUACACGUUUCCGACACAAAGCCCAUCACAUUGAAGCUCACAACUGUUCAUUCACAUAAGAAAACAUUGCUGAGCAAGAGGAUCGACGGACUUAUGUUAAGUGACCUGGAUGAGAACGAGCAUAUUCCACUUCCGUCAAUCUUCACCCUUAGUUACAUACCUGUAUCGGAGGACGAUAUUCCAACAUAUCAUGACAUCAGUAAGUUUCCGUACCUCAGUGAUAUUGAUAUGCCCCGCAUCAAUGCUGGAAUAGAGUUAAUGAUUGGGAACAACGUCCCGCAGGCUAUGGAACCGUGGGAGGUGCGUCAUAGUCAAAUGAACGGUCCUUACGCCAUACGAACCAAGCUGGGGUGGGUCAUCAACGGACCUGUCAGAGACCUCAGAGCGAACGUAAUACACGCGAAUGGAACACGCGCCGCGGCGUUCCAUCACGGGCUCGAUGAGACCUUACAAAAUAUGUAUGAACAAGAAUUUCCAGAGAAAAAUUUUUCCGUCGCAAAGGGGAUGUCACAUGAAGAUCGAAGAUGGAUGGCAAUGGUUCAAGAAAGUUGUAGAGUGAGUGCUGAUGGUCAUUACGAGAUAGCCUUGCCAUUCUGCCAGGCGAAUCCCGAGCUCCCAAAUAAUCUGGAGUUGGCAAUAAGAAGACUUGAGGGACUCAAAAGGAAACUUAUGAAAGAUAACCGAUUAAGAGAGCACUACACGGCGACUAUGACAGAUAUGCUCUCCAAGGGUUACAUAGAAAGGGCACCCGAGCUCGAUUCAAUGACUAAAGGUGGGAAGAAAUGGUAUCUCCCACACCAUGGGGUGUAUCAUCCGCAAAAACCACAUAAAGUUCGUAUCGUUUUCGACGCGGCAGCUAGCUACAAAGGCACGUCCUUGAACGACGCAUUGCUACAGGGACCCGACUUAACCAAUUCCCUUAUCGACGUACUAUUACGGUUUCGAUGGGCUCCUGUAUGCUUUACGGCGGACAUAGAAGCCAUGUUCCAUCAAGUACGAGUACCCGAUCGCGACAGAGACUUUUUACGGUUUCUCUGGUGGACUGGUGGCGACUUGACUGAUCAGCCAGCUGAAUACAGAUUUACUGUACAUCCUUUCGGAGCCACAUCAUCACCGGCGUGCGCCAAUUACGCCUUGCGAAGGGCCGCCACUGACCACGGAUCACACUUCAGCGCAGAUACUGUGGAGACCAUUCUAUACAACUUUUACGUUGACGACUGCCUUAAGUCGGUUGAAACAGGUGACGAUGGAAUCAGGAUCGGUCAAGAGCUGAUAGAAUUAUGCUCACGAGGAGGCUUCAACUUAACAAAGUUUGUCAGUAAUUGCAGCGCGCUCUCUCCUCAUUUGGACAAUGACAAGAGCAAUUGUUGCAUUGAAUUUGAUCAGGAAAGGGGUCUUGCACGGAAGGCUCUUGGAGUAAAAUGGUCUCUAGACACUGACAGUUUUAGUUUUUCGGCGGCCAUAAAAGAAAGGCCCAUGUCCAAACGCGGUAUUCUCGCAAUCGUAGGCUCAGUGUAUGAUCCGUUUGGUUUGAUUUCCCCUUACGUUUUAAUCGCAAGACAUCUAUUGCGAGACCUGUGCAGAAUCAAAGUCGGCUGGGAUGAAUGCAUUCCAAAGCCAUAUCAGAAGCAGUGGGAACAAUGGCUAAACGAUCUUCUGGUCUUGAACAACAUUUCCGUUCCUAGGUGUCUGAGGCCACGGUCUUUCAGGAACGCAUUUUGCCAGCUCCAUCAUUUUUCUGACGGUAGUGAACGCGCCUACGGAACUGUCUCUUAUUUCAGAGUUGUCAACGAAGCAGGUGAUAUUCACUGUGGUUUUGUAUUCGGGCGGUCACGAUUGGCACCGUUGAAAGGGACGACUAUCCCAAGGAUAGAGCUAGCCGCAGCAACUUUGGCUGUGAAAGUGAACGCUAUGAUUCAAAGCGCGUUCCAAACCAAAAUUGAGUCAUGGUUUUGGACCGAUAGUACCACAGUUUUGCGUUAUAUUCGAAACGAGAAGACACGUUUUCACACGUUUGUUGCAAACCGACUAGCAGUCAUAAGGGAAGGCUCUUCGCCGAACCAGUGGAAGUAUGUUCAAAGUUCCCUGAAUCCUGCAGACAUUGCUUCACGUGGAGCAAGUGGGAAAGACAUCAGUAAGAACCAGGAGUGGUUCUCCGGCCCCGAAUUUCUGUGGAAAGAAAGCCACGAAUGGCCUUUGACGCCCAAUAAUUUGGGGGACAUAACAGAAGACAUUGAAGUGAAAAGAGAGCGCAAAAAGGAACAGCUUCCGAAUACUGAUCUGAGAGCGAACUGCACAAACGUCAUUACCGUGCUGGACGUACAUCCCGUAGAAACACUUCUUAGUUAUUACAGCAGCAGAUGGAAAGUGGUUAGAGCAAUAGCUUGGCUAUUGAGAGUUCGUCACAGACUAUUAUGUAAGGAAGCGCCUAGAGCUACGAGAAGAAAUUUGAGCAUCGAGGAGAUGGAAGCUGGGGAGCGAGAGAUAGUGAUUCAUGAACAAAUGGCAAGCUAUGCAUCGGAAAGGAAACAUUUGGCAGCUGGCAGACCUGUUCAACUAUCUAGUUCCUUGCAGAAACUUAAUCCAAUAUUACAAGAUGGCUUCGUCGUGGUUGGUGGGCGACUCGAACGUGCCUUGCUACCAGAAACGGCGAAACAUCCUAUCAUCCUCCCCGCAAGUUCUCGAUAUGCCACCAUGGUCAUUCAGGAUGUACAUGAGCAAUUGGGGCAUCAAGGACUGUCCCACGUUCUUACCACAGUGAGACAAAAGUUUUGGAUUAUACAUGGAAAUAAAGCUGUGAGAAAGGUUUUGAGUAACUGUCUUCACUGUCGAAGAAGAUUUAGUCAGCCAGAGAAUCAGAAAAUGGCCGAUUUGCCUAUCGAUAGGGUUCAGGCGUUGCAACCUCCAUUUACAAGUACUGGUGUCGAUUGUUUUGGACCAUUCUUCGUCAAACGUGGAAGAGGACAAGAAAAAAGAUAUGGCAUCAUUUUUACUUGUUUAGCAAUUCGCGCCGUCCAUCUUGAGAUGGCUGACAAUCUCUCGACAGAUUCAUUUAUUUGUGCCUUAAAAAGAUUCAUUUCCCGUAGAGGCAAUGUGCAGGUGAUUCGGUCCGACAACGGCACAAAUUUUGUCGGAACAAAUAACGAAUUGAAAAGGGAAUGGAGAAAACUGCACUCUUCAGACGCAAUCUAUAACACACUAGCAAAACGAGGAAUCGAGUGGAUUUUCAACACUCCAGGUGCCUCACAUCACGGAGGGGUGUGGGAGAGAAUGAUAAGGUCCACGAGAAGAGUCCUCGAAUCCUUGCUCUCAUCGCAGUUGCUUACGGACGAGACGCUAAGAACUUUCUUAUGCGAAGCGGAAAGUAUUAUCAACAGCCGUCCAUUGACUCCUUUAACGAUGGACCCCACGGAUGCUGAACCGCUCACUCCCAACCAUUUACUGUUGCUUGCACCAGGGGGAGAUCUGCAAGCUGGAAUUUGGCAAGAAACUGAUAAUAUCAGCAUAAGAAGAUGGAAACAGGCCAGAUAUAUGACAGAACUUUUCUGGAAGAGGUGGCGAACCGAAUACCUGCCACUGUUGCAGAGCCGUCCGAGAGCAUGGACUCGAAGUAGAGGGAAUCUGAAAGAGGGAGACGUUGUACUCCUAGUUGACACAGCAGUACCAAGAGGGCAGUGGCCCAUAGGAAGAGUGCAGACGGUAAAAACGAGUCUAGACGGUCUGGUAAGAUCGGUUACGAUUCUCUGUCGCGGGACACAGUUGACGAGACCUAUCCAAAAGUUGGUGAAACUACUAUCAGAAGACGAAACAUCGUAGGACUGAUCCGCAGACACAUUGCCCAUGAUGUCUAGUUACAUUGUCAGAAAUUGUCAGAUGCGGAUUGACAAUUUAGAUAUACGGUUGUACACAUGGGCAUGUUGUAUCGCUGCGACGAUACAAAGGGGAGGGUGUUAUCGGCGAGGAUCUUUGUCGAUAACCGGCACAUGCUGCCGAGCUCGCGAUUUUGCUCUUCACUAAUUUUAUUUGGUUUGUGGUGGAUUAAAUUUGUAGACCCUUAGAAUGGAUCGGUAAGGACUUAAGUUAUUUAUUUGGAAAAUUGUAUGCUACGUUUUGGUUAAGUUUAUUUACGUUAUUUGUCUCUGUAAAACGUGCUACGACGUCAAAACAAACACCUGUGACCGAAACGAACAACGAAAACGAUACGAAGAAGCGAUUUGAGACAAAGCGACCCGCGUCUGUAUGAUAUUCUUGAAACCGUUGAAAUACAUGUAGUACGUUCAUCGCGUUAGUCAAGAGGACGUGGGGCCGCUACAAUAUCGAUUGGA